RNAcentral lists this long non-coding RNA (3139 nucleotides) under Homo sapiens (human). Its description in RNAcentral is "non-protein coding lnc-CPSF6-2:1". Lineage: Eukaryota; Metazoa; Chordata; Mammalia; Primates; Hominidae. The record is from RNAcentral.
UUGAAUGUCUAUGUAUGUGGUAUUCAGGAAGGAGAUACAAAGACAGUGAAUAUUACUUCUGUUUUUUUAGGAGCCAGGAAAUAAAAUAAUUUCCAUUCAGUGAGUAACUCAAAGUGAUUGCAAUGUGCAAAAUACCUUGAGCAUACAAAGAAAAAACAAUUGGCUGUCCAGAAGAAAGGAACUAAAGAGACUAAUAUGUGCUUUUCCAUAUGUUAUUUCAUGUAAGUGUUAAAAACAGUCCUAUUGGGAUUCCUUGUUUACAGGUGAGGUAAGGUAUUUUGUAAGAUUCAGUAGCAGAGCAGUGAUCCACGUUAGGAGUCAGAAAAGCCAACCCAGAGAAUGUGACAGUAGAACUGACUCUUAGAGGUCAUUAUUUGAAGAUAUGAGGUGAUAUGUAUAUUGUGAAAGAAUCUACAGAUACAUUAAUAGGCUUAAAAAAUUUAGCAAGAUCAAUGAAUACAAAGUCAGUUUAGAAGCCAGAUAUAAUGGAGCUAGUUUUAAAUUUAAUAAAAGGUGUGCAAAGUGCUCUUUGUAGAAAGUUUUAAACCUUUACUGAAAGACAUUAAGAUAGACCCAAAUCAAUGGACAUCUGUUUGCUCCUGAAAGUGUGUUCUACAGACUGGCAUCGUUGACAUCAAUAUUCCUGUUGUCGGGUAGGAGGAAUCAGUAUCAUUAAAUAUGACAGCUCCUCCCAAAUCUAUAGCAUCAAUGCAAAUCAGAAUAAUAUCCCAAGAAGUUUGUUACUGAAUAUGACUAUCUGGUUCUAAAUUUUAUAUGGAAGCUCAAAAACAAAUGAUAACCAAGAGGGAGGUGGAGUGAGACUUGCCUUACCAGAUACUAAGCCGUAUUGUAAGUAAGAUAAUACAGACUUGAUGCAGGAAUAGACCAUAGAACAAUAUACAGAGACUAGAAACCACAUAUGAAAACUAGAUUUAUGAUAGAAUGGGAAUCUCAUACAUAAAUAUCAAUUCUAGGUGGAUUAAAUGUGGACUUAAUGUAAGAGGCAAAGCCAGACUCUUAAGAAUAAAUUAUAGGAAAUAAUUGUAUGACCUUGGAUUGGAGAAGGAGUUCUUAAGACAUAAAAGGACAAAUUAUAAAGGGAAAGAUUGAUAAAUUUGAAUAAAAUUAAGAACUCCUGAUUAUUAAAAGAGUGAAACGAAAAGUCCCAGACUAGGAGAAGAUAUUGAAACACAGAUAAUUGACAAAAGGACUUUUAUCAAGAAUAGAUAAUAAACCAUACAUAUAUGAGAACAAUAGAAACCCAAUAGAAAAAUGGUCAACUCGGGCCGCCGCCGCUGCCGCUGAAUCAUUUGAGCUGCAGCGGGCGGUUUCGGCUCUUGGCCAGGAGCCACUUGUGCGGCUGCCCAGAGAACCAGAGGUCCUCGAUCCCGUGUCGUCUUCCUCUUCGCCCCCAGGAGGAGCGAGAGGGAGCCGCGGUUGAUGUGAGAAAUAGACUUCCGGGAAAUGGCCUCUAAAUCCUGGCUGAAUUUUUUAGCCUUCCUCUGUGGAUCGGCAAUAGGAUUUUUUGUUGUUUUUUUUUUUUUAACGUUCUCAGCUAUUUAGUAUUUUGGGAGAAUAGGGUGACACCCAGCCUAAUAUUCUUCAUAAUGAUCCUCAUGCGAGGCAUUCAGAUGAUAAUGGCACAAUCAUCUAGAAGGACAAAUGAACUUCAAUGCUGAUUCUAGCCAACAUAAAGAUGAGAACACCGACAUCGCUGAAAACCUCUAUCAGAAAGUUAAAAUUCUUUGCUGGGUUAUGACAAGCCCUUAAAACCUAGAGAAAAAGGCCAAACUUAUCAAAGUUACAUGGGCCCAGCAUUGUCACAAAGUGUUAUGAGUUCAAAAGAAAAUAAAGACUUCCCUACUGUGGGAUUGAAAACCAAAGAAGGCAGAGAUCAGCUAUACUGGAAAACAAAGCUUUUCAGUAUGUUCAUGAACAUUAUUUAGAAGAUGCUGAUUGGCUUUUGAAAGCAGAUGAUGACACGUAUGUCAUAGUAGACAAUUUGAGAUGGCUUCUUUCAAAAUAUUACCCUGAAGAACCCAUUUACUUUGGGAGAAAACUAAAACCCUAUAUGUAAAGCAGGGCUACAUUGAGUGGAGGAGCAGAAUAUGUGCUAAGCAAAGAAGCCUUGAAGAGAUUUGUUGAUGCAUUUGAAACAGACAAGUGUACAUUUAGUUCCUCCAUUGAAGACAGCACUGGGGAGAUGCAUGGAAAUUAUAAAUGUGGAAGCAGGAGAUUCCAGAGAUACCACUGGAAAAGAAACUUUUCAUCCCUUUAUGCCAGAACAUUUAAUUAAAGGUUAUCUACCCAGAACCUUUUGGCACUGGAAUUACAACUGUUAUCCUCCUGUAGAGGGUCCUGGUUCUUGUUCUGAUCUUGCAGUUUCUUUUCACUACGUUGAUUCUACAACUAUGCGUGAGUUAGGAUACCUCAUUUAUCAUCGUCGUCUAUAUGAUUAUUUGUACAGAUAUCAACCUGCCUUACCUGAAAAUACACUAAAGGAAAUUAGUCAAGCAAACAAAAACGAAGGUACAAAAGUGAGGUUAGGAAACCCUUGAAUGAAAGUAAAUGAUGAACAAAGGGAAAAUGUCUAGCAUUGCACUGAAGAAGGACUUUUGCAUUUCUAACCUAGAACACUGGAAUCCCAAUGAGGAAUUCUAAGUGAACAUUCCAUGUAGGAAUCUUUCACAUGAAUGAUUAUAAACUUUAAAUGAGCUUUAAAUGAGCUGUGAAGUCUGUUAAAAUGCGUUUUCGUACAGUAAUAUAUAAAUAUAUCUGUAUAUAUGAAGAACUUGUGUUUUUAAAAUGGUGACCAGGUAGAGGAACUAGAAAAGAGAUUUUGUUGCCUAUUUUUGACCAUCUGUAUUAUUGUCACUGAGAAACUAAAACAAUUAAAUUUGCUAAAACUACAGUGCACCAUGUUAGUAAUAAACAGAUCUGCCCCAAAGAAAAUUAAAAAAAAGGGCAACAGACAUGAACUGACAUUUCACAGAAGAAAGUUUAUAAAUAUAUGAAAUAAAAUUUAAUUUUAUUCUGGAAAGUGCAUAUUAAGAUCACAGGUGCCAUUUUUUACCUACAAUAUUGGCAAAAAAGUUCAAAAUGUAAUUUGAGUAUUGGCUAGUAUACGGUGCAAGUGAAA